UUAUCUGGUUGAUCCUGCCAGUAGUCAUAUGCUUGUCUCAAAGCUUAAGCCAUGCAAGUCUAAGUGCAAACUUGAACAAAGUGAAACCGCGAAAAGCUCAUUAAAUCAGUCAUGGUUCACUGGAGCCUAUUCACCUUGAAUGGAUAACUGUGGUAAUCCUAGAGCUAAUACAUGCAACUAAGUCCCGUCCAGUGAUGGUAAGGACGCUUUUAUUAGAUCAAAACCAAACGGAUUCGUCCGUGUAUUUUGAUGACUCUGAGUAACACACAACUGAUCGCAACGGUCCUCGUACCGGCGACUCAUCUUUCAAAUGACUGACUUAUCAACUGUCGAUGGUAGAUUAAAUGUCUACCAUGGUUGUUACGGGUAACGGGGAAUCAGGGUUCGAUUCCGGAGAGGGAGCCUGAGAAACUGCUACCACAUCCAAGGAAGGCAGCAGGCGCGCAAAUUACCCAAUCCCGACACGGGGAGGUAGUGACAAUAAAUACUGAUACAGGGCUCUAGCCGCGGUAAUUCCAGCUCCAAUGGCGUAUAUUAAAGUUGUUGCGGUUAAAAAGCUCGUAGUUGGUUCUGUGUGCCACGCUGUCGGUUCACCGCCUGCCGGUGCAACUGGCAUGCCGUGGGAUGUCUUGCCGGAGGGGGCCGAGGUUCGCAGCGCAGGCUUCCCGCCUCGCUGCCGGGCCGAGGUCCUCGAUCACGCUGCCACGGUGCUCUUGAUCGAGUGUCGGGGCAGGCCGACAAGACUACUUUGAACAAAUUAGAGUGCUUAAAGCAGGCCUAACGUUGCCUGAAUAGUUGUGCAUGGAAUAAUGGAAUAGGACCUUGUUUCUGUUUUGUUGGCUUUCGGAAUUCAAGGUAAUGAUCAAUGUGGACAGGCGGGGGCAUUCGUAUUGCGACGUUAGAGGUGAAAUUCUUGGAUCGUCGCAAGACGAACUAGAGCGAAAGCAUUUGCCAAGUAUGUCUUAGUUGAUCAAGAACGAAAGUUAGAGGCUCGAAGGCGAUCAGAUACCGCCCUAGUUCUAACCAUAAACGAUGCUAGCCAGCAAUCCGCCGAUGUUCCUCCGAUGACUCGGCGGGCAACCCCCGGGAAACCAAAGCUUUUGGGUUCCGGGGGAAGUAUGGUUGCAAAG
This 1130-nucleotide ribosomal RNA is filed under the name Rhagovelia amazonensis. RNAcentral's name for it is "SSU rRNA". It matches the Rfam family "Eukaryotic small subunit ribosomal RNA", at positions 1 to 1136 of the family's 1831-position model. Lineage: Eukaryota; Metazoa; Arthropoda; Insecta; Hemiptera; Veliidae. The record is from RNAcentral.